AUUGAACGCUGGCGGCAGGCCUAACACAUGCAAGUCGAGCGGCAGCGGAAAGUAGCUUGCUACUUUGCCGGCGAGCGGCGGACGGGUGAGUAAUGUCUGGGAAACUGCCUGAUGGAGGGGGAUAACUACUGGAAACGGUGGCUAAUACCGCAUAACGUCGCAAGACCAAAGUGGGGGACCUUCGGGCCUCACGCCAUCGGAUGUGCCCAGAUGGGAUUAGCUAGUAGGUGGGGUAAUGGCUCACCUAGGCGACGAUCCCUAGCUGGUCUGAGAGGAUGACCAGCCACACUGGAACUGAGACACGGUCCAGACUCCUACGGGAGGCAGCAGUGGGGAAUAUUGCACAAUGGGCGCAAGCCUGAUGCAGCCAUGCCGCGUGUGUGAAGAAGGCCUUCGGGUUGUAAAGCACUUUCAGCGAGGAGGAAGGCAUCACACUUAAUACGUGUGGUGAUUGACGUUACUCGCAGAAGAAGCACCGGCUAACUCCGUGCCAGCAGCCGCGGUAAUACGGAGGGUGCAAGCGUUAAUCGGAAUUACUGGGCGUAAAGCGCACGCAGGCGGUUUGUUAAGUCAGAUGUGAAAUCCCCGCGCUUAACGUGGGAACUGCAUUUGAAACUGGCAAGCUAGAGUCUUGNAGAGGGGGGUAGAAUUCCAGGUGUAGCGGUGAAAUGCGUAGAGAUCUGGAGGAAUACCGGUGGCGAAGGNGGCCCCCUGGAC
This 717-nucleotide ribosomal RNA is filed under the name uncultured prokaryote. Its description in RNAcentral is "bacterial SSU rRNA". It matches the Rfam family "Bacterial small subunit ribosomal RNA", at positions 28 to 734 of the family's 1533-position model. The record is from RNAcentral.